GACUACCGGGGUAUCUAAGCCCGUUUGCUCCCCACGCUUUCGCGCCUCAGCGUCAGAAACAGGCCAGAGAGCCGCCUUCGCCACUGGUGUUCCUCCCAAUAUCUACGCAUUUCACCGCUACACUGGGAAUUCCACUCCCCUCUCCUGCCCUCAAGUCAUCCAGUUUCAAAGGCAGGCUACCGGUUGAGCCGGUAGUUUUCACCUCUGACUUAAAUAACCGCCUACGCGCCCUUUACGCCCAGUAAUUCCGGACAACGCUCGCCCCCUACGUUUUACCGCGGCUGCUGGCACGUAGUUAGCCGGGGCUUCCUCCUCAGGUACCGUCAUUUUUUUCUUCCCUGAAGACAGAGUUUUACGACCCGAAGGCCUUCCUCACUCACGCGGCGUUGCUCCGUCAGGCUUUCGCCCAUUGCGGAAGAUUCCCCACUGCAGCCCCCCGUAGG
This 443-nucleotide ribosomal RNA is filed under the name uncultured Peptococcaceae bacterium. RNAcentral's name for it is "partial 16S ribosomal RNA". The record is from RNAcentral. Lineage: Bacteria; Bacillati; Bacillota; Clostridia; Eubacteriales; Peptococcaceae.